Scophthalmus maximus (turbot) is the source of this 2918-nucleotide long non-coding RNA. RefSeq lists it as uncharacterized. NCBI's taxonomy places the organism in Eukaryota, Metazoa, Chordata, Actinopteri, Pleuronectiformes, Scophthalmidae. The transcript is spliced from 2 exons. The record is from RefSeq and is a predicted model, not a curated record.
UUUGCAAGAUAUUGUCUUUCAUUCACAAUGGUAAUGAGAACAGUCAUAUGUUCCUUUAAAGUACUGAAUUGUGCAUAUGUUUUGAGCGCUGCAGAUGGUUAGGUUCUCAUCUGUGCCAUCAGAGAGGCAUCUGAUUGGUCCCAUUCUGUCAGUCUGCAGCAUGACAACGACCACAAACACACAAAGCCAGUCGAGUCAAACACAACUACCUUCAGCAACAAAGAUGAACAGGGAGUCCUGCAGCAGAUGGUCUGGCCUCCACAGAGCCCUUCUACGAGCAUCCUGGACUCAAUGUGGGAUUACACGAAGACGGAAGACGCCUAAACAAGCAAGCUCUCCAAGAUCCUGGAAACAACCUGCCUGACAAGUAAAAUGAGCCAGUGAGGCCAGAGUCCAUCAGUGCCCAGGAGACCUACCAGGGCUUGAUCGCAGGGCACUUCAUCCACUGUCUGCACCGACCCAGCAGAACACCGUCUCCUCUUUCACAGCUCACCUUUCUGUCCAUCAACCUUUUCUGUGGAGAAGAAGAACAGGUGAAAACAGUGGAUUAGAGGUGGGUGAUAAGGACGUAAACUGCUUUAGCACCAGCUACAUAAGAAACCACAGACUGGCUCACCUUUAGGGACGAACACCAGUGAGCUGCUGAAUAUUCAGAAGCGUGACAGCCCUUCUCUUGGUCCGUCAUACAAGAACUCGUGGCCCAAGCUGCUGCCACACUUUCCACAACAAACCUGUGGCAUUUCAAUCCAGAAGAUUUAAAUCAAAAACUCUAUACCUACAGAUCACACGAUUAAUAACAAGCACAAUGUCAGGAGUAAUCUCCAAUUAGUCAUAUUUUAACAAACAUUAAGCAGUGUGACUUUUGCAUAAUCUACCUUUAUGGGUCCCCAUGCCUCAGGGUGUUUGGACACGCUGUCCUCGUGGAUCGUUUCUGAGAAAGCCGGCCAAGGAGACGAGUGCUCAAACUUUGACUUGCUGGAAAAUAACUUGUGCCCACAUUCAGAACACACGUAUAUACCUGAGAGGCAAAAAAACAAGUACCAUGGGCUUUUCUUUAUAAUCCAGUGGGGCUCAUUUCCCCUUGACCUCAUGUUUAUUUUUGGGUCACUCACCAGGUUGGAAGAGAUUCUUGUAUUCUUCUCCCCCAGAAAACGAACAAUACGACAUCUCAUCUGUAUCUUUCAGUCCCUUAAAAACCAAAAGUAAUUUUCCUUUCAGUUAGUUCACAAACAAGUUUGCAAAAAGUCAACUGAGCUAAGCAGGUCUGUCCAGAACAGAUCAUGUGUCAACAGAUCUUUCCUGCUUGUGUAACACCUGAUCUUAUUCCCAUUAGUUCCACAGGAUGGCAGCACUUACACCCCCCAGCAGUUGUGUGAAUGCAAAAGCCAGGUUAAUAAAAUAAUAAAUCAAAUGAUAAUGUCAAUGUAUAUGGCAAGUAAAAAAAAGUGGAGCUCUUCUAUUUUCUAGAGGAAAAUAAACAGCAUAUUAAGUUCUCAUCUAGAAAGUGUUAUAAUAUUUAACGACAACAUUAUAAAGUAUUUACCAGCAAAAAUAUAGAGGGAGAGUAUUGUAUUUUUAAUCAAAUAUAUUUAUUUCAGUUCGUUGCAUAUUAGUCAUUUUGAUACAUUUCCAUAAAGCUAAAGAGUGAUGUAGAAAGCAGCAGCUAGAGACGCCGAUAGUGUUGCCAUCAGCAUUAUUUUGAAUUCAUGAUAAUCCCACUUAAUGUAAGUCUUUUUCUACAUUCAGCAUAUCAAACUAAAAACAUGUUGAUAAAUAAAAAACAGAAUUAGACCCUGGGAAAAAGGAUCAUCUAGUCUCAGAUUCAGUUUUGUAAGCUACUCUUUUCUGGUACAUUUGUUCCGUUAUCUUGUCAGUGUCAGAGCCGUACAACUACAGCAACAACUGCUAAGGUAAAUGAACUCACAUGUAAAAUACAGCUCACAAACACGACCCAUAAAUACAAUCUAAGUGUGUGAGACAGUGACUGUGUCACCAGUGAGGUGAUCCUGUUUUCUGAAUCUGUGUUGAUUGCAUAAUAAAAAAGGUGCUGAGACCAGUCCCUUGUUCUUUGCUGUCCAGUGAGGCCACAUAUCCAUCAGAGGCCUGGGGCUCCCAGAUUGGGCUUUGUUCCAGAACUCCUCAUCCACUGGCCGCACCUUCAGCAGCACAAAGGAACUCCUACAAUCCCAGCAACACGUCCCCCAGCCCGCUCACCUUACUGUCCAUCAACCUUAUCUGGGGAGAGCAAAAAAGAGACAGGGGGAGCGACGUGGGGUUGUGAAGGAGUAGUUUUCCAGUAAACGCAUCUCAAUAUUAAUGGGCACGGUUUCUGAAUAGAAACUGUUUCAACUAAACCAGUUUCAGAAUAUGAGGCAACACAUCUGUUGGGGCAAAAAAAAGUGUGAAGAGUUUUACAUACCUUCAAAUUAAUUCCAUAAGAACCCUGUUAGCUAACCACAUGGUAUUUGCAGAGCAUCUCUCAAAAUAUUUCUUUUACCCUAUUUUACAUGGUAUUUAAAAUCAAAAGCAUAAAACUUGGUAUUAUCACAUUUAAAGGGUAAAAAUGACUCCACUGGUGGUUGCAUUAAGACACUCAAUUGCUGUUCGCUCAAUGUAGAUACGGCAUCUGCAAUAAAGCUGGUGUCAGUGUAAUAAUCUUGACUGUUUUUUUACCUUUAGGGACGAACUUCAGUGAGCUGCUGAAUAUUCAGAAGCGAGACGACCCUUUGGCUGGCCCGUCAUUGACAAACUCAUGGCCCAGUCCAUUUCCACACUUCCCACAGCUCACCUGCAACAACAUAUCAUGCAUCUGAAUAAGAACUUCAGUAACUUAAAAUAUGUUGCUUUCAUUGGGCACACAAGCUUAAUAUUGUGUGUGGUGCCUGGGCUUGAAAUAAAAAGAAACACAUGCACACUCA